AGAGUUUGAUCAUGGCUCAGAUUGAACGCUGGCGGCAGGCCUAACACAUGCAAGUCGAACGGUAACAGGAAGCAGCUUGCUGCUUUGCUGACGAGUGGCGGACGGGUGAGUAAUGUCUGGGAAACUGCCUGAUGGAGGGGGAUAACUACUGGAAACGGUGGCUAAUACCGCAUAACGUCGCAAGACCAAAGAGGGGGACCUUCGGGCCUCUUGCCAUCAGAUGUGCCCAGAUGGGAUUAGCUAGUUGGUGAGGUAACGGCUCACCAAGGCGACGAUCCCUAGCUGGUCUGAGAGGAUGACCAGCCACACUGGAACUGAGACACGGUCCAGACUCCUACGGGAGGCAGCAGUGGGGAAUAUUGCACAAUGGGCGCAAGCCUGAUGCAGCCAUGCCGCGUGUAUGAAGAAGGCCUUCGGGUUGUAAAGUACUUUCAGCGGGGAGGAAGGUGUUGUGGUUAAUAACCGCAGCAAUUGACGUUACCCGCAGAAGAAGCACCGGCUAACUCCGUGCCAGCAGCCGCGGUAAUACGGAGGGUGCAAGCGUUAAUCGGAAUUACUGGGCGUAAAGCGCACGCAGGCGGUCUGUCAAGUCGGAUGUGAAAUCCCCGGGCUCAACCUGGGAACUGCAUUCGAAACUGGCAGGCUUGAGUCUUGUAGAGGGGGGUAGAAUUCCAGGUGUAGCGGUGAAAUGCGUAGAGAUCUGGAGGAAUACCGGUGGCGAAGGCGGCCCCCUGGACAAAGACUGACGCUCAGGUGCGAAAGCGUGGGGAGCAAACAGGAUUAGAUACCCUGGUAGUCCACGCCGUAAACGAUGUCUACUUGGAGGUUGUGCCCUUGAGGCGUGGCUUCCGGAGCUAACGCGUUAAGUAGACCGCCUGGGGAGUACGGCCGCAAGGUUAAAACUCAAAUGAAUUGACGGGGGCCCGCACAAGCGGUGGAGCAUGUGGUUUAAUUCGAUGCAACGCGAAGAACCUUACCUGGUCUUGACAUCCACAGAACUUUCCAGAGAUGGACUGGUGCCUUCGGGAACUGUGAGACAGGUGCUGCAUGGCUGUCGUCAGCUCGUGUUGUGAAAUGUUGGGUUAAGUCCCGCAACGAGCGCAACCCUUAUCCUUUGUUGCCAGCGGUCCGGCCGGGAACUCAAAGGAGACUGCCAGUGAUAAACUGGAGGAAGGUGGGGAUGACGUCAAGUCAUCAUGGCCCUUACGACCAGGGCUACACACGUGCUACAAUGGCGCAUACAAAGAGAAGCGACCUCGCGAGAGCAAGCGGACCUCAUAAAGUGCGUCGUAGUCCGGAUUGGAGUCUGCAACUCGACUCCAUGAAGUCGGAAUCGCUAGUAAUCGUGGAUCAGAAUGCCACGGUGAAUACGUUCCCGGGCCUUGUACACACCGCCCGUCACACCAUGGGAGUGGGUUGCAAAAGAAGUAGGUAGCUUAACCUUCGGGAGGGCGCUUACCACUUUGUGAUUCAUGACUGGGGUGAAGUCGUAACAAGGUAACCGUAGGGGAACCUGCGGUUGGAUCACCU
RNAcentral lists this ribosomal RNA (1530 nucleotides) under Salmonella enterica subsp. enterica. RNAcentral describes it as "bacterial SSU rRNA". It matches the Rfam family "Bacterial small subunit ribosomal RNA". Lineage: Bacteria; Pseudomonadati; Pseudomonadota; Gammaproteobacteria; Enterobacterales; Enterobacteriaceae. The record is from RNAcentral.